GAUGAACGCUGGCGGCGUGCCUAAUACAUGCAAGUAGAACGCUGAAGGAAGGAGCUUGCUCUUUCCGGAUUAGCUGCGGACGGGUGAGUAACGCGUAGGUAACCUGCCUGGUAGCGGGGGAUAACUAUGGGAAACGAUAGCUAAUACCGCAUAACAGUAGAUAUUGCAUGAUAUCUACUUAAAAGAUGCAAUUGCACCACUACCAGAUGGACCUCCGUUCUAUUAGCUAGUUGGUGAGGUAACGGCUCACCAAGGCGAAGAUACAUAACCCACCUGAGAGGGGUGUCGGCCACACUGGGACCGAGAACCGGCCCAGACCCCUACGGGAGGGAGCAGUAGGGAAUCUUUGGGCAUGGACGGAAGUCUGACCGGGCAAAGCCGGGUGAGUGAAGAAGGGUUUCGGAUCGUAAAGAUCUGUUGUAAGAGAAGAACGAGUGUGAGAGUGGAAAGUUCACACUGUGACGGUAUCUUACCAGAAAGGGACGGCUGACUACGUG
This 497-nucleotide ribosomal RNA is filed under the name uncultured bacterium. Its description in RNAcentral is "partial 16S ribosomal RNA". It matches the Rfam family "Bacterial small subunit ribosomal RNA", at positions 28 to 507 of the family's 1533-position model. The record is from RNAcentral.